RNAcentral lists this unclassified non-coding RNA (263 nucleotides) under plant metagenome. Its description in RNAcentral is "partial contains small subunit ribosomal RNA, internal transcribed spacer 1, and 5.8S ribosomal RNA". The record is from RNAcentral.
UUUCCGUAGGUGAACCUGCGGAAGGAUCAUUAUUGUAUAACCGAGGUGCGAGGGCUGUCGCUGACCCGAAAGGUCGUGCACGCCCGAGUGCCCCAACACACAUCCAUUUCACCCCUAUGUUCACCGCCGCGUGGUUCCCCCUUUGACUUGUUCGGAGGGGGGCUUACGUUUUCACACAAACUUUGUAUGCAGUGUAGAAUGUAUUUUUUGUUUUUGCGAUCACGCAAUCAAUACAACUUUCAACAACGGAUCUCUUGGCUCUC